Long non-coding RNA from Oryza sativa Japonica Group (Japanese rice), 1899 nucleotides. RefSeq lists it as uncharacterized. Lineage: Eukaryota; Viridiplantae; Streptophyta; Magnoliopsida; Poales; Poaceae. The record is from RefSeq and is a predicted model, not a curated record.
GAAUCUGUGCAGAAAGAACGGAAAAAGAAAGUUAGGCAUAACUACUAUAUACCACACAAGUCCGCACAGACCUCAAUUGACAUCUCGCAAAAUAAAAAGGAAAACAUUUAAAAAAAGUAAUGUUCCAAAGUGUUUCAAAUAGCACUCAUAAUAAUCUUUGGCUUACUCAUGGAGCACAACAGCUAGAAGAGAGGAGAAAAGGGCAGUAGUGCAUGUACAAGUGCCACUAGCUAGCGCUAGUUCCCUAUCUACAGAUUAUGCUGAAGCAAGAAGAGUGAGCUAGAGACCAGGAGCACAAUAGAUAUAUAUAGAUGUGUUUGUGGAGUUGUGGUAUAGUGGCUGCAAUUGUAGCAUGCAUAUGCACUUGCUUUGCUGUUUUAGCUCUCUACUGUUCCUGAACAGCAGGUGAACUUGAGCUAAACUCUAGGUGGCCGUGGUAGUGGUGUGGCUUCUGUUGAAACAAAGGGCUCUUCUCGAUCCCGUUGCUUUCGGCUCUAUUGCUUGUGGGUCAUUCAUGUCUCAUGGGUGUGGGGGGUGAUGCUGACUGAGUGCUCUGCCACUAAGAACAGAAGAUCGAUACUCGUUUGAGAUCUCUGGGAAAAAAGAUGAGAAAACAUUUGUGUGCAACUUGAGGGUUUGCAAAUCGAAAAAUGUCACUCCAAAGAACUGUAAAGUGGCGUCCAUUCUUUCUUUCCUUGUCACCAGACACUAUUCAUCUAUAAACGUUGACCGUUCUUUCUUUUGCGAAAAAAUAAAUAUUAAUAAUAUGCUGUAUUAUCAAAUUAUUUUUGCAUGCUAAAUAUAUCUAUACUACUUACGUUUAUUAAAACAUCACAAUUUAGAACUUUUUACUGGUCAAAGAUAAAUUUAAAUUUACAGUGGUCGAUCGAUAUUGCCAAAUAAAUAGGAACAUACUGAGAAUUAGUGUUCAUUUGUAGAUUCUAUUACUACUGAUACUGUUGAGCAAUUUUAUCAUCCAACAUUUAAUAUCUCGAGGUACCACAUUUUGCAUACAAAAUUUUAGUACCUCGAGAUACUAAGUAGCAAGUACCUUGAGGUAUCAAAUUUUACACUAGAGGUACUAAAUUUAUACUACUACCGUACCUCGAGAUAAAAAAAAUAUAAUAUCUCGAGAUACUAAAUGUUGGAUGGUAAAAUUACUCGGUAAUAUGAGAGAAGCUCUCCGAACAAAUGAUCAAUAUUGUCGUCCUCUCAGCUCCAUUUAUUGUCGCACUCCUGUUACCACAACAAAACACUGCUGUGGAUUGACCAAAGUACAAAUGACAUUAUUGUACCUUGAGCUCGAUCUCAAAGCUCUGGCCGGCCGGUUGUGUCUUUGUACGGUCCACAAUUUAAACCGUUGUUUUUCAUGGAUAAACCCACGUGAUCUCCCCUCUUCCUUUUCCCCUUUCCUUUUUAAUUAUCUCAUCCCUUUUGCCAAUCAUGUGCUAAGCUUGAUGGUGAUUGGCCAGCUACACUUAACCCCAAAAAUAACAAAUUAAGAAUUGGCUCGAUUACCAUAUAACAAGUGUUUGAUCCAUGGAGGGAGACCAUGUGGUCGCGUGCUUGCAGUUCUAGAACUGAUCGAUCGAUAUAUGCAUGCGAGGAUGGAUGGAUCGAUGGGGAGCGCGCGGGCCGUGCGUGCCGCCACAUGAGGCGACACAGGGGCGAGAUCGAUCGAUAUUGCGAGCCUGCGAGGCUGGCAUGCACAUGCAUGCGUGCAAGAUGAAGGGGAGCAUAUGCCGUUUUUCUUUUCGUUUCUUUUACUUUCUCUCUGAUCCCUUCUGUUGUUAAUUGAUAAUAAUCUUGGUAUGUUUGUAUGUUCCCAAGCAAAUCAUAACCAAAAUGUAGCAUCACAGAAAAAUCUGGUAAAAGGGCAUUUGGGGUUUGAUGAGUGCA